AAAAGCAACUUAAAGGAGAAAGGCUCUAGCAGAACCAUCAUCAAAGAUAGCAGAGAAACUGCAUCCAGCAACUGAUGGAAGAUACAGAGUACCACAGCCAAACAUUAGGCUGGGCCCUGGGAGUCCUGUGGAGGAGUGAGGAGGAAGGACUGGAGGAACCAGAGGGAUCAGGCACAUCACAAGAACAUGGCCCAAUCAACUACCUGGGACUCAUGGGGGCUCCCAGAGAUCAAGGAGCCUGUAGGGAUCUGACCCCUUCUACAACGUCUGUUUGGGCUGCCUGAAAAGCAAAGCUCAUCUGCUCUCUUUGGCAUCUCAAGACCUCAAGGGUGGUGGUAGAGGUGUGAGGAAUACCUAAAAUAGCACAUUCAGACCCAGUAACAAGCUUUGCACUAGUGGACACUGUAUGGUAAGUAUGGUCACCUGCCCCCAAUUUCAUGCUUAGGUUGGAUUGCUACUGUGGCAAC
This is a long non-coding RNA of Mastomys coucha (southern multimammate mouse), 467 nucleotides long. RefSeq lists it as uncharacterized. The transcript has 3 exons. The record is from RefSeq and is a predicted model, not a curated record. NCBI's taxonomy places the organism in Eukaryota, Metazoa, Chordata, Mammalia, Rodentia, Muridae.